RNAcentral lists this ribosomal RNA (804 nucleotides) under uncultured bacterium. Its description in RNAcentral is "bacterial SSU rRNA". It matches the Rfam family "Bacterial small subunit ribosomal RNA", at positions 60 to 869 of the family's 1533-position model. The record is from RNAcentral.
AGUCGAGGGGUAUAGUAGCAAUACUUAGAGACCGGCGCACGGGUGAGUAACGCGUAUGCAACCUGCCCUUUACUGGAGGAUAGCCCGUAGAAAUGCGGAUUAAUACCCCAUAGUAAUGUUGGAUCGCAUGAUCUGGCAUUUAAAGUUUCGGCGGUAAAGGAUGGGCAUGCGUGACAUUAGCUAGUUGGAGAGGUAACGGCUCACCAAGGCUUCGAUGUCUAGGGGUUCUGAGAGGAAGAUCCCCCACACUGGUACUGAGACACGGACCAGACUCCUACGGGAGGCAGCAGUGAGGAAUAUUGGUCAAUGGGCGAGAGCCUGAACCAGCCAUCCCGCGUGCAGGAAGAAUGCCCUAUGGGUUGUAAACUGCUUUUUCGCAUGAAGAACACCCCUGACGUGUCAGGGGCUGACGGUAAUGCGUGAAUAAGCACCGGCUAACUCCGUGCCAGCAGCCGCGGUAAUACGGAGGGUGCAAGCGUUAUCCGGAUUUAUUGGGUUUAAAGGGUGCGUAGGCGGCUAUUUAAGUCAGUGGUGAAAUCCUGCAGCUUAACUGUAGAACAGCCAUUGAAACUGAAUAGCUUGAGUGAUCUUGAGGUAGGCGGAAUGUGUAGUGUAGCGGUGAAAUGCUUAGAUAUUACACAGAACACCGAUUGCGAAGGCAGCUUACUAAGGAUUUACUGACGCUGAUGCACGAAAGCGUGGGGAUCAAACAGGAUUAGAUACCCUGGUAGUCCACGCCGUAAACGAUGAUAACUCGCUGUUGGCGAUACACAGUCAGCGGCUUAGCGAAAGCGUUAAGUUAUC